CCGUCACCUGCCUUUGGCACCACCAUAGUAGCCACCAAAGUAAAAAAAUGACGAAUCACCUUCAUACCCGAGCUCGAAGCAGCUCCAUCGCUGAUAAGCAGCUUUGCGGACCUCCAAGGUGGCUCACUAAAGGCGAAACCAUUGUCGUUGAACGAAUCAGGCCGGGGAACACCCCAGACACGCCAUCGAACUCCAAAUGUGGCACCCCCACCGGACUAAGACGUCGAAGGAGAAAACCAUACCUGCCAUCCACAAACCACUAACCUAGAUCCACCAUCUUUCACAUGUCGUCCAUGCAGACCCCAAUCUGCAUCCGCUCCUCGAC
This 325-nucleotide long non-coding RNA is filed under the name Hordeum vulgare. RNAcentral describes it as "long non-coding RNA (HVUL_LNC001269)". The record is from RNAcentral. Lineage: Eukaryota; Viridiplantae; Streptophyta; Magnoliopsida; Poales; Poaceae.